RNAcentral lists this non-coding RNA (27 nucleotides) under Mus musculus (house mouse). The record is from RNAcentral. Lineage: Eukaryota; Metazoa; Chordata; Mammalia; Rodentia; Muridae.
UGCACCAAGCGAUACCCAUACUGAAUU